GGGUAUGAAGUGAUCUGGCUGCGACCUCUGUUGCCCCACUGAUGGCCAGGAUUGAUUCGGCUGAUCUGGGUUUUGCUAGGCAGAUGACUCCCACCCCCUUGCUUCCUCACUGUUCCAUGUGCAUCCUUCCUGAAGCUGCACACUGGCUCAAAGAGGAUGAUCACUCCUGACAGAGGAGGACCAUUUCCUGGGUCAGUGGUACACAAGUAACUGUGUUCCCCUGCUAGAACCUCUAAACCAGCUCUCACGAGCAAAGGUACUUUCCUGUAUCUCGGUCUCUGCAGCCACAGCAAGGUGCAGAACACGGAGGCCCAGGGCUUCCCAGGUUU
RNAcentral lists this small nuclear RNA (329 nucleotides) under Octodon degus (degu). RNAcentral describes it as "7SK RNA (ENSODEG00000023423.1)". It matches the Rfam family "7SK RNA". From Rfam's summary of the family: 7SK was discovered as an abundant small nuclear RNA in the mid-70s but a possible function has only recently been suggested. Two independent studies have found that 7SK RNA binds the CDK9/cyclin T complex (known as elongation factor P-TEFb). P-TEFb activates transcription by phosphorylating the C-terminal domain of RNA polymerase II. Lineage: Eukaryota; Metazoa; Chordata; Mammalia; Rodentia; Octodontidae. The record is from RNAcentral.